This 260-nucleotide ribosomal RNA is filed under the name uncultured bacterium. Its description in RNAcentral is "partial 16S ribosomal RNA". It matches the Rfam family "Bacterial small subunit ribosomal RNA", at positions 793 to 1055 of the family's 1533-position model. The record is from RNAcentral.
GUCCACGCCGUAAACGAUGAAUGUUAGCCGUCGGCAUGCAUGCAUGUCGGUGGCGCAGCUAACGCAUUAAACAUUCCGCCUGGGGAGUACGGUCGCAAGAUUAAAACUCAAAGGAAUUGACGGGGGCCCGCACAAGCGGAGGAACAUGUGGUUUAAUUCGAUGAUACGCGAGGAACCUUACCCGGGCUUGAAAGUUAGUGACGAUUCUGGAAACAGGAUUUCCCUUCGGGGCACGAAACUAGGUGCUGCAUGGUUGUCGU